Molecule: long non-coding RNA, 3517 nt
Organism: Sarcophilus harrisii (Tasmanian devil)
Lineage: Eukaryota; Metazoa; Chordata; Mammalia; Dasyuromorphia; Dasyuridae
Source: Ensembl
GGGAUAAGGGAUAGAUAAAUUGUUCUUUCUUUUUCUAACUUUACUUGAGUCAGAUUUUCUAUAAACUUGCACAUCACAAUGUCAUUUUCAAGUAAUUGGGCAUACAUUCUUCAAUUAACCAAUCAAUAAGUGUUUGCUUAUUGCACAAAUUGGGCUAAGUGUUGGUUAAUACAAAGGCAAAAGUGAAAUAUCUGCUUGGGGUUACCUUCUAAUGGCAGACUUUGUGUAUGCAUUAUUUGUGUGUUUAUAUGCAUCAAAUGUAUUAAAUAAAUAGAUGAUAGUUUGAAGUAGGGAUGGAGUGAGAAGUGUGAGGAUAAAUACAUUCCAGGGUUCCAUAGCCUAACGUGUUAAACCAGGACUGGAUCCAAAGCCUUUUUGGAUUUGAGGAGCUGUAAUAGGAAGGAAAUAAGGAAAUGGAUAAAGAAGUAUAAUGUUAAGCUCAAUGUUAAAGGAAAUCAGACAUUCUGAAAGUCAAAGAUAAUAAGAAUUCAUUCCAGGUAUGGGGACAGAUCAUUGCAAAGGCAUAGAGAUAAAUGAUAGAGCAUAAUAUGAAAACCAGUAUAACACUGUCAAAGUAUAUGAGGGACACUAACGUGUAAGAAGACUGAAAAGGUAGAAAUCAGCCAAGUUUGGAAGAGUUUUAAAUGAGUUUUUCUUUAAAAACUAUUUGAAUGCAAAUAGAAAACAACUAGGCAUAAUUAGUCAAAUUGGUAGGGUUGGGAUAAGGAUUGAUGGAUAAAAAAAUGUUGUUUGACAAGUGCACAGAUCACGUUUCCUCAUUUUAAAGAAAAUGUGACUAAUAUAAUUUCCUUUUUUAUUUUAAUAACUUUUUAUUGACAGAACCCAUGGCAGGGUAACUUUUUACCACAUUAUCCCUUGCACUCACUUUUGUUCCGAUUUUUUCCCUCCCUCCCUCCACCGCCUCCCCAAGAUGGCAAGCAGUCCUAUACAUGUUAAAUAGAUUACAGUAGAUCUUGGAUACAAUAUAUGUGUGCAGAACCGAACAGUUCUCUUGUUGCACGGGGAGAAUUGGAUUCAGAAGGUAGAAAUAACCCGGGAAGAAAAACAAAAAUGCAAGCAGUUUACAUUCAUUUCCCAGUGUUCUUUCUUUGGGUGUAGCUGCUUCUGUCCAUCCUUGAUCAACUGAAACUGAGUUGGAUCUUCUCUUUGUCGAAGGAAUCCACUUCCAUAAGAAUACAUCCUCAUACAGUAUCAUUGUUGAGGUGUAUAAUGAUCUCCUGGUUCUGCUCAUUUCACUUAGCAGCAGUUCAUGUAAGUCUUGCCACUCCUCUCUAUAUUCAUGCUACUGGUCAUUUCUUAAAGAACAAUAAUAUUCCAUAACAUUCAUAUACCACAAUUUACUCAACCAUUCUCCAAUUGAUGGGCAUCCAUUCAUUUUCCAGUUGCUAGCCACUACAAACAGGGCUGACACAAACAUUCGUGCACAUACAGGUCCCUUUCCCUUCUUUAUGAUCUCUUUGCCAUAUAAGCCCAAGUAAUACUGCUGGAUCAAAGAGUAUGCACAGUUUGAUAACUUUUUGAGCAUAGUUCCAAAUCACUCUCCAGAAUGGCUGGAUGUGUUCACAAUUCCACCAACAAUGUAGUGUCCCAGUUUUCCCACAUCCCCUCCAACAUUCCGCAUUAUCUCUCCCUGUCAUUCUAGCCAAUCUGACAGGUGUGUAGUGGUAUCUCAGAGUUGUCUUAAUUUGCAUUUCUCUGAAUAAUAAUGAUUUGGAGCCUAUUUUCAUAUGGCUAGAAAUAGUUUUAAUUUCUUCGUCUGAGAAUUGUCUGUUCAUAUCCUUUGACCAUUUAUCAAUUGGAGAAUGGCUUGAUUUCUUUUAAAUUAGAGUCAAUUCUCUAUAUAUUUUGGAAAUGAGGUUUUUAUCAGAACCUUUGACUGUAAAAAUGUUUUCCCAGUUUAUUGUUUCCCUUCUAAUCUUGCCUGCAUUAGUUUUGUUUGUACAAAAACUUUUCAAUUUGAUAUAAUCAAAAUUUUCUAUUUUGUAGUCAAUAGUGAUAUCUAAUACUUCUUUGGUCAUAAAUUCCUUCCUCUUCCACAGGUCUGAGAGGUAAAUUAUCCUAUGCUCUUCCAAUUUAUUUAUAAUCUCAUUCUUUAUGCCUAGGUCAUGAACCCAUUUUGACCUUAUCUUGGUGUACGGUGUUAAAUGUGGGUCAAUGUCUAAUUUCUGCCAUACUAGUUUCUAAUUUUCCCAGCAAUUUUUGUCAAAUAAUGCAUUCUUAUCCCCAAAACUGGGGUCGAUUAAUAUCAUUUCCAUCAUUGGAGACAUAAACUUUAUUUAGACAUACCUACCAGAUGAACUUCUUGGAAGGCAAACUUUUUUUUUAUUUAGGGAAAGAGAUGGCUCUAAAUAUUGGGAAGGGAUAUAAAUUUUGGUCAUUUUGCAUUGAUUAAACAUUUUCGCUUGAAAAUCUUGAAACUCUUUCCAGAGAAAUGAAAUUUUCCAUUUUACCACCAAGAAAAGCUAGGCUGUGAGAGAGUAAGUUGAUAGCAUAAAUGGGAAAAGGAAACAUAGUAUUUCAUUCUUUGCCUCAUUUUUUUUCUUAAUAAACUAUUGAUUUAGUAGGUCAGACUAAUCUUUCCCUUUUUUAUAUAUAAAAAAACAUACUGUGAUAGAGAACCUAAAACUAAGUGUGAGGUUGCACACCCUCCUGAUGCUUUUAUUACUCACCAUUAGAGAUCCAACAUAAUAACAACAAAAAGCCCUUUUUGCAUACUCAUAUCUUGUUGUUGGAGCUGUUUUACUAUCACAUUCCCAUCAUCUUAUAAUUGGUCUAUUAAUUUAUUUUCCUAUAAUCUGUUGUAAAGUGUUUUACUUCCCAUAUUUUCCAUCAUAAUGCUAAUGUUUCUGCCAUAGGGAAAAACCUGAAUGGUUUGUGAAAAACCUGAAUGAUUUGUGAAAAAUCUGUAUGGUUUGUCUUUGUUUCUGUAUGUACACAAUUCUCUACCAUAGUGGCUUUGGCAAAGAAUAAUAGGAAGAAAAAAUUCCCUACAUUUGUCAGAGGUGAUUUUUCAAUUUUUUAAAAAAAAUAAUGCAAUGAACAAUGUUAAUUUUAUUCUGAGAGGCAAUGUACCACAGUAGUUAAAGUACUGAGCUUUAAGGCUCAAUAGGCAGGAAGGCCUGGGUUUGGAUUCUAGCCCAAGAUACUGCCUAGCUGUGUGACCCCAUAUAAAUGGCUUUACAUUUUGAUCCUAUUUCCUCAUGUUCAAUUCCAAAUAACAGUGAGUUUCUACAGUAUAGAGUAAUUUUGAGGAUCAAAUGACCUAAUGUAAAGAACUUAGCAAAUUUUAAAACCCUAUAUGAAAAUUAUCAAGGCCUAAUGGCUAAAGAAGAAAUUUAAUUCUGAGUUCAGAUUUCUCUGAUCUAUUCUGGGUAAGUUGCUUAAUUUCUCUCAACUCCCCAAACUAUAAAUUGCAGUGUUGAUAUGCACGUAGUAGAAUAUCCUUAGAGAGAAUUAUCUAUGUUAAUGGAAUUUCUGACACACCAGGAUUUGUUGU